GAAAAAAUCAGAGAUGAAGUUCUGGAAGAUAUUGAAGAGUCACAUAGAGGAAACAUUGCCGGAAUGGCAAGACAAAUUCUUGAGUUACAAAGAUCUGAAGAAAGAAUUGAAAUUGAUUUAUCCUCAGGAUGAUCGGCCUAUCAAAAAACAGAGAUUGAAUAAUGAUGAGCUUGCCAAGGAGGUGAAUGAUUUUGUAAAGCUCUUAGAAGAGGAGAUUGAUAAGUUCAACACUUUCUUUGUCGAGAAAGAAGAAGACUACAUCAUUCACCUUAAGGUUUUGAAAGAGAGGGUAGCUGAGAUGGGAAAGUCAAAUGAAGAGGUGAAUAGAUUAGGCAGGGAUAUUGUGGAUCUUCAUGGAGAGAUGGUUUUAUUGG
This 374-nucleotide unclassified non-coding RNA is filed under the name Hevea brasiliensis (rubber tree). The record is from RNAcentral. Lineage: Eukaryota; Viridiplantae; Streptophyta; Magnoliopsida; Malpighiales; Euphorbiaceae.